AGUGAACGCUGGCGGUAGGCCUAACACAUGCAAGUCGAACGGCAGCACAGUAAGAGCUUGCUCUUACGGGUGGCGAGUGGCGGACGGGUGAGGAAUACAUCGGAAUCUACUUUUUCGUGGGGGAUAACGUAGGGAAACUUACGCUAAUACCGCAUACGACCUACGGGUGAAAGCAGGGGAUCUUCGGACCUUGCGCGAUUGAAUGAGCCGAUGUCGGAUUAGCUAGUUGGCGGGGUAAAGGCCCACCAAGGCGACGAUCCGUAGCUGGUCUGAGAGGAUGAUCAGCCACACUGGAACUGAGACACGGUCCAGACUCCUACGGGGGGCAGCAGUGGGGAAUAUUGGACAAUGGGCGCAAGCCUGAUCCAGCCAUACCGCGUGGGUGAAGAAGGCCUUCGGGUUGUAAAGCCCUUUUGUUGGGAAAGAAAUCCAGCCGGCUAAUACCUGGUUGGGAUGACGGUACCCAAAGAAUAAGCACCGGCUAACUUCGUG
RNAcentral lists this ribosomal RNA (492 nucleotides) under uncultured bacterium. Its description in RNAcentral is "partial 16S ribosomal RNA". It matches the Rfam family "Bacterial small subunit ribosomal RNA", at positions 29 to 507 of the family's 1533-position model. The record is from RNAcentral.